GACGAACCGUGCGAACGUUGUUCGGAUUCACUGGGCUUAAAGGGUGCGUAGGCGGGUCUUUAAGUCAGGGGUGAAAUCCUGGAGCUCAACUCCAGAACUGCCUUUGAUACUGAGGAUCUUGAGUUCGGGAGAGGUGAGUGGAACUGCGAGUGUAGAGGUGAAAUUCGUAGAUAUUCGCAAGAACACCAGUGGCGAAGGCGGCUCACUGGCCCGAUACUGACGCUGAGGCACGAAAGCGUGGGGAGCAAACAGG
Molecule: ribosomal RNA, 253 nt
Filed under: uncultured bacterium
Lineage: Bacteria
Description: partial 16S ribosomal RNA
Rfam family: Bacterial small subunit ribosomal RNA
Source: RNAcentral